Molecule: long non-coding RNA, 949 nt
Organism: Homo sapiens (human)
Lineage: Eukaryota; Metazoa; Chordata; Mammalia; Primates; Hominidae
Gene: YEATS2-AS1
Product: YEATS2 antisense RNA 1
Source: Ensembl
UGUCUGUGAAGUAAUGAGGAGGAUAUAAACCUCUGAGCAAAGCUGAGUGAGCUUUCACAACCAUGAGGUUCUCUAAAAAUGACAAAGCAGACCCUUGAGCUCAUCUGGCUCUAAGAGUGUCCUAAGCACUCACUCCAUCUCCUACUGGAUUGAUGUAAGUAUAAAACACCUUCAUGGGCAAUUCAACUGUUAGGAAAGAGGUGUAAGCCUCACACCACAGACUGCAGAGAUAGUAAUACCUGUUGUGAGAAGCUGUCUGGUAUCCAACUGCCAAAGCCUGUCUCAGGAUAUCAUUCACCAGCUGUUCUGUAGCCUACAAUGGAAGAUGCUGUUAUUCUUCAAAUGGCCAUCUGCUUGCUGGCAAGAAGGGACACAUUUAACCCCAUCCCUUACCCCAAAUGUUUGAAACCACUGCAACUAGGGAUUAAAAAGUCCUUAAGAAAAAAUUAAAGGCCUCAAUAAUAGACCAUAAUGAUAAAGGCCAUGAUUCUGAGAAAUUAUGAAUUGGAGUGAUUUUCAUUAAUCAGACAUUAUUCUAUUUAUUUAUUUAUUUUGAGAUGGAGUCUCACUCUCGCGCCCAGGCUGGAGCGCAGUGGCGCGAUCUUGGCUCAGUGCAACCUCCGCCUCCCGGGUUCAAGCGAUUCUCCUGCCUCAGCCUCCCAAGUAGCUGGGAUUACCAGUCCUUGCCCCUUACUCCAAACCGCCUGGGAUGCAACCAUCCUUCCUGGCUGGCGGCCCCUGCAGGCACCCACCUUCAGGAUCAUGUCCUCCACCACGGACGCAUACACGUUCCUGUGGAGUGCCACGGGCUGCAGGGUGAUCCCAAUCUGGAAAAGCAGAAGAAAGCCGUUUGUUCGUAUCGCUGCUUUAGAAACAGCCUCUCUCCAAACAAGCAUACCUCCCUGACAUGCAAAGCGAUGCCUGGUUGGAAGGAGGACUCUGCAAACAU